GAUGAAGAACGCAGCGAAAUGCGAUACGUAAUGUGAAUUGCAGAAUUCAGUGAAUCAUCGAGUCUUUGAACGCACAUUGCGCCCCCUGGUAUUCCGGGGGGCAUGCCUGUCCGAGCGUCAUUGCUGCCCUCAAGCACGGCUUGUGUGUUGGGCCUCCGUCCUCCUCCCGGGGGACGGGCCCGAAAGGCAGCGGCGGCACCGCGUCCGGUCCUCGAGCGUAUGGGGCUUCGUCACCCGCUCUUGUAGGCCCGGCCGGCGCUUGCCGACACAUCAAUCUUGUUUCCAGGUUGACCUCGGAUCAGGUAGGGAUACCCGCUGAACUUAAGCAUAUCAAUAAGCGGAGGA
Molecule: unclassified non-coding RNA, 345 nt
Filed under: soil metagenome
Description: partial contains 5.8S ribosomal RNA, internal transcribed spacer 2, and large subunit ribosomal RNA
Rfam family: 5.8S ribosomal RNA (bases 1-120)
Source: RNAcentral